GAUGAACGCUGGCGGCGUGCUUAACACAUGCAAGUCGAACGGAAAGGCCAGUGCUUGCGCUGGUACUCGAGUGGCGAACGGGUGAGUAACACGUGGGUGAUCUGCCCUGCACUUCGGGAUAAGCUUGGGAAACUGGGUCUAAUACCGGAUAGGACCAUUGGUUGGUGCCUUUGGUGGAAAGUUUUUUCGGUGUGGGAUGAGCUCGCGGCCUAUCAGCUUGUUGUGGGUAAUGGCCUACCAAGGCGUCGACGGGUAGCCGGCCUGAGAGGGUGUACGGCCACAUUGGGACUGAGAUACGGCCCAGACUCCUACGGGAGGCAGCAGUGGGGAAUAUUGCACAAUGGGCGCAAGUCUGAUGCAGCGACG
This 366-nucleotide ribosomal RNA is filed under the name uncultured bacterium. Its description in RNAcentral is "bacterial SSU rRNA". It matches the Rfam family "Bacterial small subunit ribosomal RNA", at positions 28 to 396 of the family's 1533-position model. The record is from RNAcentral.